UACGUAGGGGGCCAGCGUUGUCCGGAAUCAUUGGGCGUAAAGCGCGCGUAGGCGGCCCGGUAAGUCCGCUGUGAAAGGCGGGGGCUCAACCCUCGGAUGCCGGUGGAUACUGUCGGGCUUGAGUGCGGAAGAGGCGAGUGGAAUUCCUGGUGUAGCGGUGAAAUGCGCAGAUAUCAGGAGGAACACCAAUUGCGAAGGCAGCUCGCUGGGACGUUACUGACGCUGAUGCGCGAAAGCGUGGGGAGCAAACAGG
This 253-nucleotide ribosomal RNA is filed under the name uncultured bacterium. RNAcentral's name for it is "partial 16S ribosomal RNA". It matches the Rfam family "Bacterial small subunit ribosomal RNA", at positions 524 to 776 of the family's 1533-position model. The record is from RNAcentral.